CCCUUAGAUGUUCGGGGCCGCACGCGCGCUACACUGAACGGUUCAAUGGGUAAGGUAGUGCGAAAGCAUGACCUAAUCUCGAAAUCCGUUCGUGCUGGGGAUAGAAGCUUGCAAUUAUCCUUCUUGAACGAGGAAUACCUUGUAAGCGUGAGUCAUCAUCUCACGCUGAAUACGUCCCUGCCCUUUGUACACACCGCCCGUCGCUCCUACCGAUUGAGUGUUCCGGUGAGGCUUUGGGAGAAUGGCCUCAACAUGAGUUUAUCGUGUUUUGCCGUUUGAACUUAGUCAAACCUUAUCACUUAGAGGAAGGAGAAGUCGUAACA
RNAcentral lists this ribosomal RNA (323 nucleotides) under uncultured eukaryote. RNAcentral describes it as "partial 18S ribosomal RNA". It matches the Rfam family "Eukaryotic small subunit ribosomal RNA", at positions 1470 to 1796 of the family's 1831-position model. The record is from RNAcentral.